AAGGCGAACUUGGAGUACGCCGUCGAAGCCGCUGCGGACUUCCUGAACAAGGCGGUGAAGCCGAUGAUGGUCGGGGGACCAAAGUUCCGGGUGGCCAAGGCGAAGAAGGCGUUCGCCGGCAUCGCGGAGUCGAGCGGGUAAGGAGCAAGGACUAAGGAGUACCCCUACGUAAAAAGAGAGACCAAUCGAUGUUCGUAGCUAGGACUUCGAUUUUUUGACGGAAUAGUAGCUAAAAGGAACGAGGAGAUCGAGCCAGGCAAUCCUGAACGCUCAUUUCUUGAUGGAUGGCUUGGAUUGGCAAGUACUGCCUAAACCUUAUCCCUAUAGUAGUACUGUACAACUUUGCACAAUUAACAAGGCUAUCUAUCAGGAUCAGAAUAAACAGGCGGAUCAUCAUCCUCUUUGAUGAGUUGUGUGUAAUCUGCUGUUCUGCAUCGAUCCGUGCAGUCAUCGCUUGCCUUUGAUGUUGUACGUGUCUUACUUUUAUGAUGCUAUCCCUAGGAUAUCAUGAAAUUUCAUAUG
This is a long non-coding RNA of Oryza sativa Japonica Group (Japanese rice), 522 nucleotides long. RefSeq lists it as uncharacterized. NCBI's taxonomy places the organism in Eukaryota, Viridiplantae, Streptophyta, Magnoliopsida, Poales, Poaceae. The record is from RefSeq and is a predicted model, not a curated record.